AGUUUCUCCAAGCAGUUCACCUGACUUCUAGCGGGUUUCUGGGGAGGACCUGGAUCCAGCCUACCUUGAAUAAGAGCUGUGAGGGAGAUGGCUAUGACUUUUCUGGUUCCACCUAUCGUGGGAAUUCACCCUGGCUCCAUGAAUGUGUGACUAAUUUCCUGGACAGUCCGUCCUUCUCUCAUCUCUGCUGCCUCUCCAAGAGAGAGAACAAGAAUCGUAAGGACUGAAAGGGACCCCUGGAGAUCAUUGUGUCCAACCCCCUGCUAAAGCAGUUCCCUACGGCAGGCCACACGGGAAAGCAUCCAGAUGGGUCUCGAAUGUCUCCAGAGAAGGAGAAUCCACAGCCUCUCUGGGCAGCCUGUUCCAGUGCUCUGUCAGCCUCACAGUAAUGAAAUUCCUCUUUGUCUUGGUGUGGAACUUACUGUGUUCCAGUUUCUGCGCAUUGCCCCUUGUUCUGUUGCUGUGCACCACCAAAAAGAGUCCAACUCCAUGGACUCGAUUCUCACACUUCAGUUAUUUAUAAACAGUGAUGAGAUCCCCUUUCAGUCUUCUCUUCUCCAGGCUGAACAGACCCAGGUCUCUCAGCUUUUCCUCGUAACGGAAAUGCUCCAGGCCCUUUAUCAUCUUUGUUGCCUUCCACUGAAUUCUUUUCCUGUUCUCUUCCUGCUUACAUUGAAAGCAGGACAGCACCAUGGGCCUGACCCUAGGGAUACAAUACUGAUAAGAGCACAGGGCCAUUCCUCAGAUCUAAGUGACGCUGAGCAAUUUCUCUGCUCCAGGUUUUCAGUGCAAAAAUCCAUGCUUACCAAUGCAGCUCAUUAAUGCCUGAGAGCAACCUUCAAGUUACCUGUAAUACUCUCUGAAUCAGACAUGCAAUUUUAGCAUCUGUUUUUAUCUGGUAAUGGUGAGUAUCUAUGGCCUGUUUUCAGAGGUGACUUAUAUGCCUAAAUCCUAAUGAGUUAUUUUUAAGCUAGAAUGUCCUAGUUUCAGCUUCAGGUUCACCUACUGGACCUUGUUAUCAGUUCUGAGAGGAAAGACUGGUCAUUUUUAAUAACAUGGAAAAAAAAUAAUAAAGGGCAAAAAGGACAAUUAGAGCCCUUAAUGUUUACCAAGGGCAUGGAACCAUUAUAAGACUAAAGCAAGUGAUCAUUAGAGAUAACCUUUCUUCUUCUGGGAGGUACUGCUGUUAGGUAUACAAUGAAAUGGAACAGCACUCUGUCUUCGGGUCCAUUGAAGAGCCUUUGCUUUGUUUAAAUGACAUGUUUUUUUACACAGGGCUUGGUGUGCUGCCAUUAACAUGGUUUCACGCCUCCUUUGUGCUUUCAUUGCCCCAGGCCGAAUGGUUUCGGCAUUACAUGCUUCCUCUGAUAUGGAAUCUGACCAUACUGCUCCAGGCUACCUGGCCAGGAGUGGAAGAGACUGCUGUGGUUCCUGCUAACCCAGCCCCUGGGUGCUUCAUCUCCACCUGAGAUCUUCUGUAAAAACAAAUGCACAACGCUCCUGUGGGUGAACCAGUGAUGAGCCUGAUACCGUGGGCAGGGAAAUGUUACUGAUCUGUACUGUUAAAUGCAUAGCUCCAGUUCUUUGUUCUCUUCCUUGUUUGGACAAAUUAACUUCCCCUGCAGCUUGCACUUUCCCCUGGCAGUUGUGCUAGCAGCCUUUCACUAUGCUCACAUCAACUUCAUGGAUGCUGGCAUGCCCACUACCAAACUUGCACCUGGAUUUGAGAACUUUGGAACAGAAGUCCAGGCAGAGCUGUGAGGGAAUUACUGAAGAGUAAGAAAGGGUUCAGUGAAAAGGGGUCUGCAGAAACUAAGGGUAAAAGGAUUAGAAAUAGCUUACAGAAGCAAAUACGCAGAGGCCACUAGAAGAAUGGGAUAAUAACAAGAUAGGUUUAGGACAAUGCCGGGGUAGAAGAGAUAAAGAUGAGGGUGUGAAAACAGUUCAAAGACACCGGGCAAGGAGGUGAUAAGAUGUACCCAAAGUUAGAACUGGUUCGGGGGCUACCCCUCCCUCAGGGUCAGAAGUUUACAGUGAGGAAGACUACGAGCCUUCAUCCAACCACCAUCAGGAGACCCCCCCACUGCUCACGACGCAUGCAUGAGGGGGAGGGACCGUAUGCUAAGGAAUCUCGGAAAUGUAAUGAAUAUGUAUACGAAUUCUGGGAAAAUCAUCGAUUAUGUAUUAGUUCUGCCUAUAUCUAUACCAAGGUUUUGUCCUGAUGGCAUGCGAGUUAGGAGGAGCUAUCCCCCCUGCAUCUGGCUCUGUGCAGCGUUGAUUAAAACAUACCUGAUUUAUAACUACUUUGUGGCUAUAGCAUUUGAUUCUGCAAGUCAUUAUUUCUCUGCUAUAGAAGAGCUAGGACUGUAGAAUAUUGUUAGUGGCAUGUAUCUCAGAGGUAAGGAUUUAUUUCAUAGUGUCAUAGAAUCAUAGAAUCGCUAAGGUUGGAAAAGACCCACAGGAUCAUCCGGUCCAACCAUUCACCCAUCACCAAUGGUUCUCGCUAAACCAUGAGAUGCCAUAUUUGGUGGCACGGGACUCCUGAAGAGGAUGAGUAUCUGAACAGAAGUUAAUUUGUUGUUGUGGCUGAAUGGUGCGAAGAAACGUGGCCCCAUGGGUGUACCAGAAUUGAUAACAAGCCAAAGAACAGCAACAUCAGGAAAAGGUAACAGCCACGCACAGCUUGCUGUAAGAGUAGUGCCUACAAGAGGGGAUACAAACAAGACAAGGUGCUCAACCUUGCACCAAGUCAGUGCCAGGUGAAGUGAGCUGUGUA
This 2776-nucleotide long non-coding RNA is filed under the name Gallus gallus (chicken). Its description in RNAcentral is "lncRNA (ENSGALG00010010677.1)". Lineage: Eukaryota; Metazoa; Chordata; Aves; Galliformes; Phasianidae. The record is from RNAcentral.